This 2126-nucleotide ribosomal RNA is filed under the name Stephanopogon minuta. RNAcentral describes it as "bacterial SSU rRNA". It matches the Rfam family "Eukaryotic small subunit ribosomal RNA". Lineage: Eukaryota; Heterolobosea; Eutetramitea; Pseudociliatida; Stephanopogonidae. The record is from RNAcentral.
UACUAUAUACUUGUUUCAAGGGUUAAGCCAUGCAUAUAUAAGUUCACAAAGGACUAAGUCCUUAUAAGAAAACUGUAAUCGGCUCAUUAAAUAAGUUAUAAUUCGCUCAUUUGUGCAAAUUUGUGUUACAUGGAUAUCUCAGUUAACUGCAGAACUAAUACAUGAAAAAAAUACGGGGAGGAUUUAUCCUUCUAUAUAAAAGCUUCGAGAUGGAGUAGUUGCUUUUAAGGGUGUCGGGAUUGUGAUCCUUCGGGUGAUCAGUUUACGGUGCUCAGUUGACCUUGAAAUGGUAUUGAGAAUUUAUUCAAAAAAGGGGAUUUAUGUAACAUGAAUCCUGCACAUUUGGCCGAGUUACGCGGUAUCUUCACAUUUAGUUUUUGUUUCUUGAACCUGGUUCUUGAAAGACACUGAUUGUUCCGAGAAAUUGUCGUUUGAUUUCGGAGAGAAAGCUUGAUAAACGGCUAUCACAUCUAAGGAAGGCAGCAGGCGCGAAAAUUACCCAAUUAUAAUGCGUAGAGGUAGUAACAAAAUGUAACGACCUUCCUUGCAACGCGAGGAAGGGUGGAUCUCCUUUGAUCCUUGUAAUGGAUGUAAAUUAAAAUUCUACAUGAAUGCAAUUAGAGGACAAGUCUGGUGCCAGCACCCGCGGUAAUUCCAGCUCUAGUAGUAUAUAUUAAAGUUGUUGUGGUUAAAACGUUCGUAGUUUAGUUAAAAGUAGAUGCCUACAAGUCGUUAUUGUCAGCCAGGUGGGACUGUCAUCCUGCCUGGUGGAAUCACUGAUCCAGAUGAUAGCUUUGGUCGAGAUACAUGGAUUACUUUGCCCCUUCUUAGGCAGAGCCCGGUUGAUCGGUGGCUUGUUGGGUGUUUAUUUGAUAUGUGGCCGUGAGUAAAUCUGAGUGUUCAAAACGAUCUAUGGAUUCCUAGCUUGCUUCUAUACGUUGGCAGGUACUAAAUGGGAAUCUUUGAUUAUUUGUGAUAGCACGGAACCACAACGAAGUUGAUGAGUCGUUCUGCGGCUUCAUUGAUGGGACAAAUGGGGUAUUUUCAAGUGUGCCGUACCGAAGGGCUAGAGGUGAAAUUCAAUGACCCUUUCGUGACGACCAAAGGCGAAAGCAGCACGCGAGGAUUUACCCGUCGACGAGGGACUAAAGUUAGAGGAUCGAAGAUGAUUAGAUACCGUUGUAGUUCUAACCAUAAACAUUAUCGACUGGAAAUUCCAGCGAAACCUUUCCCAAGAUCUUUGGGGCAUCCCCGGGAAACCUAGUUUUUGGAUUCCAGGGGAAGUAUUAUCGCAAGUUUGAAACUUAAAAGAAUUGACGGAAAAGCACCACCAUGGUGUGGAUUCUGCGGCUUAAUUUGACUCAACACGGAAAAACUUACCAAGUUCGGACACAAGCAUGAUUGACAGGCUAAGGACCUUUCUUAAUUUUGUGACAGGUGGUGCAUGGCCAUUCUUAGUUCGUGGAGUGAUUCGUCUUGUUAAUUCAGUUAACGAGCGAGACCUUCACCUAUUAAUCAGUGGUUAUUUAUCUAGUUUGAAAGUGGUCAACAUUUAAUAUGUGGGCAAAUCUAACGUAAAUCUUGAACAUAACAUAUACAACCUAAAUUUUUACAAGAACGACCUUCGGGUCAUUCAAAUAUAUUCCAGGGGGAAGGGCCGACUUUGUACAUAAAAGAAAGGUCUGGAACUCUUUACUUCUUAGAGGGACAACGCUCGUAAAAUUUAGAUCGCCGAAGUGGAAGGCAAUAAUAGGUCUGUAUGCCCUUAGAUAUCUUGGGUAGCACGCGUAAUACAAUGUUGAUCACAGUAAGCAUAACCGUAUUGUUUCAUUUUUUGAAACGGAAAAUACAACAUCCUGCUUCGAUAGAAGUGGGGAAUCUUUGCAAAUAUUAAACAUGACGAGGAUUGCACUUUGUAAAUAGUGCAUGAAUGAGGAAUACCUAGUACACGUGAUUCAUUAAAUUACAUGGAUUGCGUCCCUGCUUUUUGUACACACCGCCCGUCGCUUCAAUCGACACGGUCGGAAUUAUAAAGCUGAUGGAUAUCAAUUAUAUACUCUAUAUUUUGAUAAAAGUUGAAUGAAUUGUUUUGAUUUUAGAAUGAAGAAGUCGUAACAAGGUAAUCG